RNAcentral lists this ribosomal RNA (497 nucleotides) under uncultured bacterium. RNAcentral describes it as "partial 16S ribosomal RNA". It matches the Rfam family "Bacterial small subunit ribosomal RNA", at positions 28 to 507 of the family's 1533-position model. The record is from RNAcentral.
GAUGAACGCUGGCGGCGUGCCUAAUACAUGCAAGUCGAGCGCACAAACGAGGUGCUUGUUCCUCUGGCGUUAGCGGCGGACGGGUGAGUAACACGUGGAUAACCUACCUUUAAGCCUGGGAUAACUUCGGGAAACCGGUGCUAAUACCGGAUAAUAUCUUGAAACACAUGGUUCAAUAGUGAAAGACGGUUUUGCAGUAACCUAUAGAUGGCUCCGGUCCUCUUUGGCUAUUUGGUAGGGUAACGCCCAACAAAGGCAUCGAUCCGAAGCCGACCUGAGAGGGUGACCGGCCACACUGGAACGGAGACACGGUCCAGACUCCUACGGGAGGCGGCAUUGGGGAAUCUUCCGCAAUGGGCAAAAGCCUGACGGGGCAACGCCGCUGGGGUGAUGAAGGUCUUCGAAUCUUAAAACUCUUUGAUUGGGGAAGAACAAAGGGGGAAUGAACUAUGCACGUCGUGACGGUACCUAAUCAGAAAGCCACGGCUAACUACGUG